UUAAUAAUAUUGAUUAUUAUAUUAAAUAUAUAUAGAUAAUAUUAUAUUAAAAUUAUUAAAAAUUUUAAUUAAUAUAUUUAGUAUGAUAAUUAAAUUACCAGUAAUGUAAAAUCAAAUGUUUAAAAUAUCUUCAUAAAAUUUCAUUGAAUUUUGAAUUACUGAGAAAGAAUUUGAUUUUAUUUUUUAAAUUUAAAUUAAAAUUUUUAAAAUACGUUAGACAAGAGGACGGAUGGUAACUGGGUCAUCGGGAUAGAGGGCGGUGG
RNAcentral lists this long non-coding RNA (263 nucleotides) under Elaeis guineensis (African oil palm). Its description in RNAcentral is "long non-coding RNA (EGUI_LNC011488)". The record is from RNAcentral. Lineage: Eukaryota; Viridiplantae; Streptophyta; Magnoliopsida; Arecales; Arecaceae.